Long non-coding RNA from Ctenopharyngodon idella (grass carp), 1218 nucleotides. RefSeq lists it as uncharacterized. The record is from RefSeq and is a predicted model, not a curated record. The transcript is spliced from 4 exons. NCBI's taxonomy places the organism in Eukaryota, Metazoa, Chordata, Actinopteri, Cypriniformes, Xenocyprididae.
AGAAAACUUUAACCGCCAACUGUUGUUAAUCAAGCUGCUGUGGAAGCAAAUUCUUCAAGCAUCAAUUAAAUCGAGAUACCAGCGUCUUGUCAAGAAAAAAAAGAAGACCACAUGGCUUUGGAUCAAGACAAUGGGACCAUUUGAGUGACCCAAAGGCGGUGGAAGCUUGACCAAUUCUGCUGUGGACUUCUGAGGUUGAUGCACAACUAUUUUUCCUGCACAAGCAAGACAAGCAUGUGGAUUCCUCAAGUCUCCUGGGAAAGUGGAUGUGCAGGACGUCACAAGGCCGCUGGUUUGCAUGCAGCACUUAAAUUUGCUCCUGGAAAGAGGGUCAUGGCCACAAUGUCGUACGUCUCCCUGAGGCACAGGCUUUCUAUUCUGAAGACGUCCCUCCUUCACUGACAGCUAUCGGUUGGUAAAUCCCUCUGACCAAACCGUCAGAUUCAAGGACAAGACAGAUAGCUGUUAAAAAGAAGAACAGAUAGGCAGAAAGAAAGAGGAGGCUCAGGUCAGUCAUUAAAUCCCUUUGCUCAGUGGCCUCUGCCCCUCACUUCACUCCCUGAAGGCAAUCUUAUCCCACCGGUCAAUCGAAAGUCUUUUACAGCCUCAAAUCUAUUCCCCCGAUCCGUGCUGGUUUUAAGAUUACCAAACGGUAUUAUCACUUCAUCUUCAGAGCAAUCAUUGUCUCUUUCUACCUGUAUUGUUGUGAAGGAGAUAGCUACCAUUUAUGUCUAUAUCUCUGAGUCAUGGCUAGUCACUUCUUGAGCAUUAACAUUCAGCUCUGUUCCAUGGCCCGGCUGUGUCUUUGUGUCAAGAAUCCUAAUUUCAUGGCACGGAUCAUAGUGAUUAGGAGUCAUAUCGAAGCUGAAUAAAAUCAAGAGAACCUGAGAUUGCAGUCUGGACGACUGUCAUCUAAGCGGCCUGUUCAGCAUAAUCAGCACAGAUGGAUAAUUAAGUUCAAAUGCUGUGAAAAGCAGAAUUCAGGCAUGUUCGAAUUUUGGUACCUGUGGGAGAGUUUGAUUGGCAGUCUUUGACAAAGGUGGCUGCAUAUUUUUAAACUUUAAACAAUGUUCAUAUGUCUAUGUGGUGUUUUUAAUAUGCUUUAAGACAAACCAUGUGCAAAUUCAUAUGUCAACAUCAUUGCUGAAUAUUUUCUCCUUAAAACUGCAGUGGAAAAAAAAAAAAACACGUUUUGAGAUCACUGGUGUCUGUGACAUC